RNAcentral lists this ribosomal RNA (44 nucleotides) under Lactococcus lactis subsp. lactis bv. diacetylactis str. LD61. The record is from RNAcentral. Lineage: Bacteria; Bacillati; Bacillota; Bacilli; Lactobacillales; Streptococcaceae.
UGGAGAUACACCUGUUCCCAUGUCGAACACAGAAGUUAAGUCCA